GUAGGUGGCAAGCGUUGUCCGGAAUUAUUGGGCGUAAAGCGCGCGCAGGCGGUUCUUUAAGUCUGAUGUGAAAGCCCACGGCUCAACCGUGGAGGGUCAUUGGAAACUGGAGAACUUGAGUACAGAAGAGGAAAGCGGAAUUCCACGUGUAGCGGUGAAAUGCGUAGAGAUGUGGAGGAACACCAGUGGCGAAGGCGGCUUUCUGGUCUGUAACUGACGCUGAGGCGCGAAAGCGUGGGGAGCAAACAGGAUUAGAUACCCUGGUAGUCCACGCCGUAAGCGAUGAGUGCUAAGUGUUAGGGGGUUUCCGCCCCUUAGUGCUGCAGCUAACGCAUUAAGCACUCCGCCCUGGGAGUACGGCCGCAAGGCUG
Molecule: ribosomal RNA, 371 nt
Filed under: uncultured organism
Description: partial 16S ribosomal RNA
Rfam family: Bacterial small subunit ribosomal RNA
Source: RNAcentral